RNAcentral lists this ribosomal RNA (775 nucleotides) under uncultured Neocallimastigales. Its description in RNAcentral is "partial large subunit ribosomal RNA". It matches the Rfam family "Eukaryotic large subunit ribosomal RNA", at positions 24 to 646 of the family's 3401-position model. Lineage: Eukaryota; Fungi; Neocallimastigomycota; Neocallimastigomycetes; Neocallimastigales. The record is from RNAcentral.
GUAGUCUCGCACAGAUGCAUAUCAAUAAGCGGAGGAAAAGAAACUAACAAGGAUUCCCCUAGUAACGGCGAGUGAAGCGGGAAGAGCUCAAAUUUGAAAUCUUAAAGGGUUUCCCUUUACGAAUUGUAGUUUAAAGAAGUGUUUUCUGUUGAGGUUUUGGUAAAAGUUCUUUGGAAUAGGACAUCAUAGAGGGUGAGAAUCCCGUAUUUGACCUUUACUUUCAACUUUGUGAUACACUUUCAAAGAGUCGGAUUGUUUGGGAAUGCAGUCCAAAAUGGGUGGUAAAUUUCAUCUAAAGCUAAAUAUUGGCGAGAGACCGAUAGCGAACAAGUACCGUGAGGGAAAGAUGAAAAGAACUUUGAAAAGAGAGUUAAACAGUACGUGAAAUUGUCAAAAGGGAAGCGUUUGACACCAGUGUUGUUUUUCUGAAAAUCAAUUAAAGAACUGUUUAUGCUAAGUUGUUUAGACUUUAUCAGGCUAACUGUUUAGUUUUGAGCUUUUCUUUAAUGCACUUUUCAGUUAACAAGUCAACAUCAAUUUCUUUUGCUGUAAAAAAGCUUGAGGAAGGUGGCUUGAGAUUCGUCUUAAGUGUUUAUAGCCUCUUGCCUAUGCAGUCGGAGAGAUUGAGGUCUGCAGCGUAGAUCCUUCGGGGCUAAAUGCAUUUGUGCUAAGUUAUAGCAUUUUAUAGACAACUUGUUGACUAUGAUUUGUCUUGUAGCUUACUCGCUUAUGUUAUUUUACCUACGCUUAGGAUGUUGAUCUGUAGUGCGUGCGC